RNAcentral lists this transfer RNA (77 nucleotides) under Actinomycetes bacterium. RNAcentral describes it as "tRNA-Pro". It matches the Rfam family "tRNA". From Rfam's summary of the family: Transfer RNA (tRNA) molecules are approximately 80 nucleotides in length. Their secondary structure includes four short double-helical elements and three loops (D, anti-codon, and T loops). The record is from RNAcentral. Lineage: Bacteria; Bacillati; Actinomycetota; Actinomycetes. RNAcentral also lists the same sequence under 3 other names.
CGGGGAGUAGCGCAGUUUGGUAGCGCAUCUGGUUUGGGACCAGAGGGUCGCAGGUUCAAAUCCUGUCUCCCCGACCA